Long non-coding RNA from Peromyscus californicus insignis, 4050 nucleotides. RefSeq lists it as uncharacterized. The transcript is spliced from 4 exons. The record is from RefSeq and is a predicted model, not a curated record. NCBI's taxonomy places the organism in Eukaryota, Metazoa, Chordata, Mammalia, Rodentia, Cricetidae.
AAAAGCACUUUGUGGAGUCCGGUUUUACUUUUCUCCACUAAAAACAAAAGAGUAACUGCUGGUUGUUUGUGGCUUUUAUAGCAGGGAAGAACAGUGUCGGUCAGUGUGUGUUGAUCAUUUAGCUGUGAUGUAAGCCAGCCUUCAGGGGCUGAGCUGGUAACAGCGGUGAACACGGCAGUCAAAAGCCAUCCCAAUUUCGCGCCUUUUUAAAACAGCCAACUGAGUCUACAUGUGCAUGGGUGUGGGACGACCAUGCAUAGGACUCCCUCCUACCACGGGUUACAUCCUCAACGAUCUUCUUCACCUGGCCAUUUCCCACUUGCCAAGAGCUCAGCAAGGGGUGGGGCCCGGAAAUUACCCGCCCACUCUGUGCUGGCACUUUGGCUGGUCUUGUGCAGAUGGAGAGGGGGCAGUCCUGGAGAUUCGACCUAAGCAUAUGCCGGACAAGUGCUCUACCACUGAGCCAUACCCCAGCCUGAUGUGGUUUUUACAUCCUGAGACAAAGUCGUGCGGUUACCCAGAGGACCUGGAUUUAGUUCCCAGCAAUAACAUGGAAGUUCACAGCCACCCGUAACUCCAGUUCCAGGGGAUGCAACACCUCUUCUGACCUCCGCAGCCACCAGAGUUGGAUCCUUCUUCCUGGAAAUCCUCUCCGUACUUUCUUCUUAUGCGGCCUCUGCUGAGUGAGCUGCAGGAAGAGGCCCUGAAGCAUUGAAACGCCAGCCUUCUUUUUCUCUCUGUGCACCCUGCAGCCAUUUUAGAGGAGGAAUUCUGUGAGCCCAACCCAGUGUCACAGUCAUAGCUGGCUGGACCAGGUGCCUUCGGCUAAGCCGCCUCGGGGGUUAUUUGCCAUGACCUGACCCCAUCAUGGCCAGUCUUCUUUUAGGGAAGGAUAGCACGUUAGAAGAAUGGCUUAUUUGCCGUUGGCGUAUCAUGGAAAAUACAACAUUCUUGAUUCUUCAAGCAGCCACUACAUCUCCUAGUACACGAAGAGCACCGAAGCCAGGUUCUCUGAAUGGCCUCAGAAGCAAUUCCCUCUGCUACUCCAGAGUCCCACAUAUCUUUGUUAAUAAUCUCGAUCAACUGCAGUAAGCCUCUGCAUGUCUUUUAUUUAAGUCAACACAUUUUUUUUCCUCAGAAAUAUUUCAAAUGGAAAGCACAUGGAUAACUCCAGGCAAGAUCAAUUGGCUGCCUUCCAAGAGACUCCACAAGAUAAAUUAUCUUGGUGGAUUUAUCACAGCCCAUGCUCUGGUUCUCAGCCUACAGAUUUAGAUUUUUAGAAACUGGAUUUUAUCAACAUAGCAGAUCUAUUUGUCAUUACUGGUAUACAUUAAUCAGCUCUCAAAGACUGAUAGAAAAAGCCAGUAUAUCUAUAUAUUAGUGGCUUUCCCGAAGACUGGAAUGCUUGAUGGAACAUCAUAUUCAGCAAAGAUUAGAGUAAGGAAAGCCUGUGUGUUAUAACAUCCAUGGAGGGGGAGGUAGAGUUAAUUCCAGGAACUGCUCGUAACCUUCAGCUGAUAUUACUGCUGGGGAAGCUGGUAACAAACCGCCCUCUACGGUAGGUCCGCUCCAGAAGUGAUGAUCUUUCUUCAGUUCAGUAUUUGGCGAUGGAUCAUCUGCAAGAGAGAUCUAUACAUUCCAGGGACAAGGCUCUUGCAUCUGUGUCCAACGGUACUCUCUCUCUCUCUUGGAUGAUGACAAUAAUAAUAAAUAUAAUAAUAAAUCAUACCUAAGAAGUUGACUCAAUAAUUGGGUCCAGGAGAUUGAGGUAGAGGCAGGAAUUAAAGAUGUCCUCUCCCAGUUACGUGAUGACUCAAAUAUUUGGAUGCAUAACAGAGCCAUUUUAUUUAUGUAGCGAUAAGACUGUGGGUCCAAUUUUGGACACAGAGUGAUAUAGGGGUGCCUUUGAUAUUUCCAAAUUGAACUGUAGUGGAGGCAGUUCUCUAUGCAGACCUGUUACUCAGAAUUGGGAGCUGUGCCAAAGACAAAAAUUUGGGAGUUGUCAGCAUAUACAUGGCUGAAGUCAUAGGGGUUGAUAGAGGAGGCCAUCAUGUUUUCCUCGGGAAUACACAGAAAACAAAGAGUAGAAGGCAUGAUUCCGAGCCCCCGAUGUUUAACUUUUGGGCAGAAAAUGAGAAGCAGACGUAAGAGACUAAGACAGAGUAGCCAACAAAUCUGCUUUCAUGGAAACAAAGGUCUGAGACUAUUUCCAAAAGUGUAUAGUUGUUUCGAAUGGACAUAAGUUCUGAGUACACAGCAAUACCCAGGUACUGCCACGAAUAGAGUGUCCUGGGUUUAGCACACCAGCCACUGUUAUAGACCAGACAGUGCUGCCCCGCCGCACCAUGAUGCAUCUGCCCUCUACAAUGGAGGCCACUUCAGUUAUUUGCUACACACAGACCGGAAGACCAGGAACUUAACAGGAUUAGCAACAAAAGAGCAACAACAGAAAGAGAUGUUGCCAUUGGUGACCUUGCAAGAAGGAGCAUCAGCAGCAGUGAUGUGCUAAUGAGGGUGAGCGCUGAGUAAGCUGAGGAGACCAAGGCUUGCCUAGAAGAAAGAAGCACAUGCGAACCUGCCCCAGUGCAUGUCAGAGAGACAGUCCAAUGUUUGUUACUGAAGAGUGUGUGUGUUGGGGGACUAAAUCAGAGUACUGCACAAUACCCUUUUGAUGGGUGGAAGUUGGUGUGGGAGGGUCUUGGCAUGUAGUCUAGGGUGGCCUUGAGCACACUAUGUAGAUCAGGCUGCCCCUGAACUCACAACCCUUCCUGUCUGCCUCCUUGGUGCUGGGCUUACAGGUAUACAUCACCAUGACUGACUCAAAAUACCCUUUAUAUAUUAUUAUCCAAUCAUAUUAUUUAUUUAUAGUGUGUGUGUGUGUGUGUGUGUGUGUGUGUGUGUGUGUGUGUGUGUUUGUGUUUGUGUUGUGUGAGGUGUGUGUGGUGGUUGUGUAUGUAGGUGUCAUUUAAGUAAACAUGCAUGAGUGUGCUUGGGAAGCUGGUGUCUUCUGAAUCACUCUCCACCCUAUCUUUUGAGACAAGGUCUCGAACUGAACCCAGAACUCACCAGCUGGCUAGACUGGCCUGCUGACUAACCCUAGAGACCCUCCUGCUUCUUCCCCAGCCCUGAGAGAUCACACUUAGGUUGGGAAGCUUGAGCCACAGGCAUUUUACCAAAUGAAUCCCCACCAUCCCAUAAAAAUACCCUGUACGAACUUACUUUGUAAUUUAGCUGUAGGAACUCUAAUGUGUAAAGUAGAAUUUGCUCUUUAAAACAGUGGAUCAUUAAUCACUUUAAAAGUUAAGUCUAGAGAUACUAGACUGUUUUCUGGAACUAUUUGAUGUCCAAGGCAAGCAAUUUGGAACAGUGACAGCAGAGGACCUCAGAGACCAUCGCUUUAAAGUGAGUGACUGCAUCCUGAUUCUCCUGAAUAAAUUAAGGUCAAAGUUUAAAACAGGGUAAUAUUGAACACAAACUUAAGAUGACAUUUGACAACCUCCGUGUGCAGCAUGGAACGCCAAUAAACUUAAGGGACCAUUUGCCGCACUUGGCACACGCUCCACACCACUGCUAUCCAGAUCCGGCUUUCUGGGCUUGAACUGGCAAGCAGGGACAUUGAAGCAUUCUACUCCAUAGCAUUUCCUCUGGGAAUAAAUUAACUUGAAAAUUUCCAGAGGUGCUAUUCAGUGAGGACCGGGUAAAGAGAAAAUGAAGAACAACAGGUUAGUAAGUAUUUCUUCCUCAGAGUAGAGAGGAGAAUGUCUCUUUAGACAGUAAUCCCAACACCCAUACACUCAACACAGACUAUAAUAACUGUAGAUGUCACGUAGAUUCUCUCUCUCUCUCUCUCUCUCGACAGUUCUCACUAUGUAGCUCUGGCUGGUCUGGAACUUAUUUAUGAAAUUUACCAUAAUUAAGAACAGCUAAAAAGCUGGGCAGUGGUAGUGCACGUCUUUAAUCCCAGCACUCGGGAGGCAGAGCCAGGCGGAUCUCCGUGAGUUCAAGGCCAGCCUGGUACAGAGUGAGAUGCAGGACAGGCACCAAAACUAC